This 203-nucleotide ribosomal RNA is filed under the name Nectria sp. (in: ascomycete fungi). RNAcentral describes it as "Nectria sp. (in: Fungi) partial large subunit ribosomal RNA". Lineage: Eukaryota; Fungi; Ascomycota; Sordariomycetes; Hypocreales; Nectriaceae. The record is from RNAcentral.
AAGCGUUCAUGACCAGACUUGGGCAGGUUGAUCAUCUGGGGUUCUCCCCAGUGCACUUUUCCAGUCCAGGCCAGCAUCAGUUUUCCCCGGGGGAUAAAGGCUUUGGGAAUGUGGCUCCCUCGGGAGUGUUAUAGCCCACUGCGUAAUACCCUGGGGUGGACUGAGGUUCGCGCUCUGCAAGGAUGCUGGCGUAAUGGUCAUCA